RNAcentral lists this RNase P RNA (366 nucleotides) under Tannerellaceae bacterium. Its description in RNAcentral is "RNase P RNA component class A". It matches the Rfam family "Bacterial RNase P class A". From Rfam's summary of the family: Ribonuclease P (RNase P) is a ubiquitous endoribonuclease, found in archaea, bacteria and eukarya as well as chloroplasts and mitochondria. Its best characterised activity is the generation of mature 5'-ends of tRNAs by cleaving the 5'-leader elements of precursor-tRNAs. The record is from RNAcentral. Lineage: Bacteria; Pseudomonadati; Bacteroidota; Bacteroidia; Bacteroidales; Tannerellaceae.
GCAGUCUGCCGGUCUGUCGCUCAAUUCGUUGGAUUGGGAGGAAAGUCCGGGCAACACAGGACGCCAUACUUCCUAACGGGAAGCUGUUCGCGAGGGCAGAGUAACGUAACAGAAAAAAACCGUCCCGCACAAAAGGCGGAACAAGGGUGAAAAGGUGAGGUAAGAGCUCACCGGGUAUUGUAGCAAUACAGUAUGCCGUACGUCUUAUGGGUUGUAAGAUCAUGUAUACCGGCGCAUGUAGGGUUGUCCGCCCGAUGCCGGGGGGUAGAUCGCUCAAGUUUACCGGCGACGGUAAAACAAGAUAAAUGACAGACGCUUUCCCCAAAAGGGAAAGAACAGAACCCGGCUUACAGGCAGACUGCUUUU